RNAcentral lists this ribosomal RNA (441 nucleotides) under uncultured Neocallimastigomycetes. RNAcentral's name for it is "LSU rRNA". It matches the Rfam family "Eukaryotic large subunit ribosomal RNA", at positions 107 to 542 of the family's 3401-position model. Lineage: Eukaryota; Fungi; Neocallimastigomycota; Neocallimastigomycetes. The record is from RNAcentral.
GCUCAAAUUUGAAAUCUUAAAGGGUUUCCCUUUACGAAUUGUAGUUUAAAGAAGUGUUUUCUGUUGAGGUUUUGGUAAAAGUUCUUUGGAAUAGGACAUCAUAGAGGGUGAGAAUCCCGUAUUUGACCUUUACUUUCAACUUUGUGAUACACUUUCAAAGAGUCGGAUUGUUUGGGAAUGCAGUCCAAAAUGGGUGGUAAAUUUCAUCUAAAGCUAAAUAUUGGCGAGAGACCGAUAGCGAACAAGUACCGUGAGGGAAAGAUGAAAAGGACUUUGAAAAGAGAGUUAAACAGUACGUGAAAUUGUCAAAAGGGAAGCGUUUGACACCAGUGUUGUUUUUCUGAAAAUCAAUUAAAGAACUGUUUAUGCUAAGUUGUUUAGACUUUAUCAGCUAACUGUUUAGUUUUGAGCUUUUCUUUAAUGCACUUUUCGUUUAACAAG